ACUUGCUGCUUUCCUACCUCAACAGCCAUUGAGAGCAGACUAACAAGUCCCUGUGUCCACAUAUUCUUGCUUAGCUCAUCGCCCUUUCAAUGAGUUCAAAGUUAUCAGAAAAUCCAGACAAGAUUCAAAAGCGCCUCAGAGUGGCGACUGGAGAAAACCACCUUCCCCUUUAUGACCUUGCCAGAGGAGGGAGCUACCAGCCUGCUUUCUGCAUUCGUCAGUGACCCACCACCACCUGACAUACCACUGCAGAGCAAUAUUGCAACUAGCUGCUAUGCAAAGGUCAUAACACACCAAUAGGGUUCUGCCCAGUGUGGUAUAAAAGUCUCUUUCAGAAAAUGGGUGGUCUGUCUCAGAUGGCCAGCCUUAUCUCCCUGCUAUGUGUACCACCUUAUC
Non-coding RNA from Pogona vitticeps (central bearded dragon), 396 nucleotides. NCBI's taxonomy places the organism in Eukaryota, Metazoa, Chordata, Lepidosauria, Squamata, Agamidae. The record is from RefSeq and is a predicted model, not a curated record.